CCCUAGCCCUGAUGGGAGCGGUAUCCUUUUUGUCUGCCGCGGCGGACAAAAAGAUAUAGCGUACAGCAGGAAAUAGC
Molecule: small RNA, 77 nt
Filed under: Flavobacterium araucananum
Lineage: Bacteria; Pseudomonadati; Bacteroidota; Flavobacteriia; Flavobacteriales; Flavobacteriaceae
Description: Flavo-1 RNA
Rfam family: Flavo-1 RNA
Source: RNAcentral